This 272-nucleotide ribosomal RNA is filed under the name uncultured bacterium. RNAcentral's name for it is "partial 16S ribosomal RNA". It matches the Rfam family "Bacterial small subunit ribosomal RNA", at positions 524 to 794 of the family's 1533-position model. The record is from RNAcentral.
GACAGAGGUGGCUAGCGUUGUUCGGAUUCAUUGGGUGUAAAGGGUGCGUAGGCGGUUUGGAAAGUCAGAUGUGAAAGCCCACAGCUCAACUGUGGAAAUGCAUCUGAAACUUCUAGACUAGAGUGUGACAGAGGUGAAGGGAAUUCCCGGUGUAAGGGUGAAAUCUGCAGAGAUCGGGAGGAACACCAGUAGCGAAGGCGCUUCACUGGGUCGCAACUGACGCUGAGUGCACGAAGGCGUGGGGAGCAAACGGGAUUAGAAACCCUAGUAGU